UUUAUUAAUUUUAUUUCUCUGAUGAUAACAAUACAUCUUAUGAUAGAUUUAAAAGAGACUGUUCUGUACGUACUCAAAAUGUUUUUGCUAUCAUUGCAUCCACGUGAACAAUAUUUAUUGGGUACGAAAAAUAAUGUUCGGUCUCAAUAGAAAUAGUUAUAAGCAGCUAAUAGCAAAUUAUUUGUUGUCGUGUAGAUACAAUUUAACCCAAGAAGAAAAAAGGAUAUGGAUUAACUGAUGGGGAAGGAGUGGAAAGACUAUGGAUCUUCAUUAGCUGCUAAACUUAAAAGAUGUCCUGAACUUAUUACUAACACGCAAUCACAAAUACAAGACUUAUUUUCGAAGCUAGAUGUUCUGUAUGACUCUGAUUUAUUAGAGACAUGGAUGAAGGAAGAAGAAAAACUAAUUAAUGAGAAGAAUUCAAAACGGGCACUUCCGUUAACAUGGCAACAAAAA
Long non-coding RNA from Xenia sp. Carnegie-2017, 456 nucleotides. RefSeq lists it as uncharacterized. NCBI's taxonomy places the organism in Eukaryota, Metazoa, Cnidaria, Anthozoa, Malacalcyonacea, Xeniidae. The transcript is spliced from 3 exons. The record is from RefSeq and is a predicted model, not a curated record.